GAUGAACGCUGGCGGCGUGCCUAAUACAUGCAAGUCGAACGCUGGAGAUCUAGCUUGCUAGAUCGAAGGAGUGGCGAACGGGUGAGUAAUACAUAAGCAACCUACCCACGAAGACUGGGAUAAUCUCUGGAAACGGGGACUAAUACCGGAUAGGUAAUCGGUAGGCAUCUUCUGGUUAUUAAAGGUUAAAAACACUGGUGGAUGGGCUUAUGGCGCAUUAGUUAGUUGGUGAGGUAACGGCCCACCAAGACGAUGAUGCGUAGCCGGCCUGAGAGGGUGACCGGCCACAUUGGGACUGAGACCCGGCCCAGACUCCUACGGGAGGCAGCAGUAGGGAAUUUUCGGCAAUGGGGGCAACCCUGACCGAGCAACGCCGCGUGAGUGAAGACGGCCUUCGGGUUGUAAAGCUCUGUUGUAAGGGAAGAACGGUAGAUAGAGAAUAUCUAAGUGACGGUACCUUACCAGAAAGCCACGGCUAACUACGUG
RNAcentral lists this ribosomal RNA (486 nucleotides) under uncultured bacterium. Its description in RNAcentral is "partial 16S ribosomal RNA". It matches the Rfam family "Bacterial small subunit ribosomal RNA", at positions 28 to 507 of the family's 1533-position model. The record is from RNAcentral.